AUUGAACGCUGGCGGCAGGCCUAACACAUGCAAGUCGAGCGGAUGAAGGGAGCUUGCUCCUGGAUUCAGCGGCGGACGGGUGAGUAAUGCCUAGGAAUCUGCCUUGUAGUGGGGGAUAACGUCCGGAAACGGGCGCUAAUACCGCAUACGUCCUGAGGGAGAAAGUGGGGGAUCUUCGGACCUCACGCUAUCAGAUGAGCCUAGGUCGGAUUAGCUAGUUGGUGGGGUAAAGGCCUACCAAGGCGACGAUCCGUAACUGGUCUGAGAGGAUGAUCAGUCACACUGGAACUGAGACACGGUCCAGACUCCUACGGGAGGCAGCAGUGGGGAAUAUUGGACAAUGGGCGAAAGCCUGAUCCAGCCAUGCCGCGUGUGUGAAGAAGGUCUUCGGAUUGUAAAGCACUGUAAGUUGGGAGGAAGGGCAGUAAGUUAAUACAUUGCUGUUUUGACGUUACCAACAGAAUAAGCACCGGCUAACUUCGUG
RNAcentral lists this ribosomal RNA (484 nucleotides) under uncultured bacterium. RNAcentral's name for it is "partial 16S ribosomal RNA". It matches the Rfam family "Bacterial small subunit ribosomal RNA", at positions 30 to 507 of the family's 1533-position model. The record is from RNAcentral.